GAACUGGAGAGUCUGAAGGAGGAUU
RNAcentral lists this non-coding RNA (25 nucleotides) under Cricetulus griseus (Chinese hamster). The record is from RNAcentral. Lineage: Eukaryota; Metazoa; Chordata; Mammalia; Rodentia; Cricetidae.